Molecule: ribosomal RNA, 488 nt
Filed under: uncultured bacterium
Lineage: Bacteria
Description: bacterial SSU rRNA
Rfam family: Bacterial small subunit ribosomal RNA
Source: RNAcentral
GAUGAACGCUGGCGGCGUGCCUAACACAUGCAAGUCGAACGAAUCAGAUAUUCAACACUGAGCUUUUAGACGAGGGAAUAAAGUUAGCCAGCAUCAAGGACGAACGAUAGAGAGUCCUUUGCGCGUUAAAAAGUGUGCUAACACAGAGUUGUCUGAAUGUUGAGUGUUGAAUAUCUGAUUAGUGGCGGACGGGUGAGUAACGCGUGGGGAACCUGCCCUAUACAGGGGGAUAGCCUCGGGAAACCGGGAUUAAUACCCCAUAAAACUCUAGUAUCGCAUGAUACGUGAGUCAAAGCUGAGGCGGUAUAGGAUGGCCCCGCGUCUGAUUAGCUAGUUGGUGAGGUAACGGCUCACCAAGGCGACGAUCAGUAGCCGGCCUGAGAGGGUGGACGGCCACACUGGAACUGAGACACGGUCCAGACUCCUACGGGAGGCAGCAGUGGGGAAUAUUGCACAAUGGGGAAACCCUGAUGCAGCGACGCCGCGUG